Molecule: ribosomal RNA, 466 nt
Filed under: uncultured bacterium
Lineage: Bacteria
Description: partial 16S ribosomal RNA
Rfam family: Bacterial small subunit ribosomal RNA
Source: RNAcentral
GAUGAACGCUGGCGGCGUGCUUAACACAUGCAAGUCGAACGAUGAAGCCCAGCUUGCUGGGUGGAUUAGUGGCGAACGGGUGAGUAACACGUGAGUAACCUGCCCUUAACUCUGGGAUAAGCCUGGGAAACUGGGUCUAAUACCGGAUAGGAGCGUCCACCGCAUGGUGGGUGUUGGAAAGAUUUAUCGGUUUUGGAUGGACUCGCGGCCUAUCAGCUUGUUGGUGAGGUAAUGGCUCACCAAGGCGACGACGGGUAGCCGGCCUGAGAGGGUGACCGGCCACACUGGGACUGAGACACGGCCCAGACUCCUACGGGAGGCAGCAGUGGGGAAUAUUGCACAAUGGGCGCAAGCCUGAUGCAGCGACGCCGCGUGAGGGAUGACGGCCUUCGGGUUGUAAACCUCUUUCAGUAGGGAUGAAGCGAAAGUGACGGUACCUGCAGAAGAAGCACCGGCUAACUACGUG